GACGAACGCUGGCGGCGUGCUUAACACAUGCAAGUCGAACGGAAAGGCCCCUUUGGGGGUACUCGAGUGGCGAACGGGUGAGUAACACGUGAGUAACCUGCCCUUGACUUCGGGAUAACUUCAGGAAACUGGGGCUAAUACCGGAUAGGAAUCCUUGCUGCAUGGUGGGGGUUGGAAAGCUUCGGCGGUUUUGGAUGGACUCGCGGCUUAUCAGCUUGUUGGUGGGGUAGUGGCUUACCAAGGCUUUGACGGGUAGCCGGCCUGAGAGGGCGACCGGCCACAUUGGGACUGAGAUACGGCCCAGACUCCUACGGGAGGCAGCAGUGGGGAAUAUUGCACAAUGGGCGGAAGCCUGAUGCAGCAACGCCGCGUGCGGGAUGACGGCCUUCGGGUUGUAAACCGCUUUCAGCAGGGGCGAAGCUUGUGGUGACGGUACCUGCAGAAGAAGCACCGGCUAACUA
Molecule: ribosomal RNA, 461 nt
Filed under: uncultured bacterium
Lineage: Bacteria
Description: partial 16S ribosomal RNA
Rfam family: Bacterial small subunit ribosomal RNA
Source: RNAcentral